Molecule: long non-coding RNA, 644 nt
Filed under: Mytilus galloprovincialis (Mediterranean mussel)
Lineage: Eukaryota; Metazoa; Mollusca; Bivalvia; Mytilida; Mytilidae
Source: RNAcentral
CAGAUUUAAUAGUUACUAUAUAAAAAUGCAUGAAUUUACAAACAUUCGAGGCCGUACUGUAGCCUAUAAUUGAUCACAGUUCCUUCACUUUGUUUUGGAUGUAGAUCUGUCUCUUUCACACUCAAUUGUACACCACUUUGUGAGGCGAUGGUUUAUAGUGAUAAUGAAGUCCGUCUUUCCGUUCGUCCGUUGGACCGGUACAACAUGUUUCGCCGGUUUUGCAAGCGCAUCUCCACAUACACCACUUAAUAUACAUUGGUGUUUCCAGACAUUUUUAAAUGGAGAGGGGGUCCAAUCCAGGAGAAAAGAGGAUUCCAAAUAUAUGUUCCCAUACAAAUGCAUUGAAAGUUAAAAAAAAAGAGUUUCAAACCGCCGGAUCCCAAUUUUCUUGAAUCCGUCACUGGUAUAACUAUUAAUUAUUUUUUUCUCGGAUUCCGUAUCAUAAAUAUAAAAAAUAUAAAAAAGAAGAUGCGGUAUGAUUGCCAAUGAGACAACCGUUCACAAGAGAUCAAAAUGACACAGAUAUUAACAAAUGUAGGUCACCGUAUGGCCUUCAACAAUAAGCAAAGCCAAUACCACAGAGUCGGCUAUAAAAAGCCCCGAAAUGACAAUGUAAAACAAUUCAAACGAGAAAAUUAACGGCC